CAGUCGCCGCGGUAAUACGAAGGGUGCAAGCGUUAAUCGGAAUUACUGGGCGUAAAGCGUGCGCAGGCGGUUGUGUAAGACAGGUGUGAAAUCCCCGGGCUUAACCUGGGAACUGCGCUUGUGACUGCACAGCUAGAGUAUGGCAGAGGGGGGUGAAAUUCCACGUGUAGCAGUGAAAUGCGUAGAGAUGUGGAGGAAUACCGAUGACGAAGGCAGCCCCCUGGGCCAAUACUGACGCUCAUGCACGAAAGCGUGGGGAGCAAACAGGAUUAGAUACCCGGGUAGUCCCUGUCUCUUAUAC
Molecule: ribosomal RNA, 301 nt
Filed under: uncultured bacterium
Lineage: Bacteria
Description: partial 16S ribosomal RNA
Rfam family: Bacterial small subunit ribosomal RNA
Source: RNAcentral